CCUACGGGUGGCAGCAGUGGGGAAUAUUGGUCAAUGGACGAGAGUCUGAACCAGCCAAGUCGCGUGAAGGAUGACUGCCCUAUGGGUUGUAAACUUCUUUUAUAUGGGAAUAAAACGUUCCACGUGUGGGAUUUUGUAUGUACCAUAUGAAUAAGGCUCGGCUAACGCCGUUCCAGCAGCCGCGGUAAUACGGAGGAUCCGAGCGUUAUCCGGAUUUAUUGGGUUUAAAGGGAGCGUAGGUGGAUUUUUAAGUCAGUUGUGAAAGUUUGCGGCUCAACCGUAAAAUUGCAGUUGAAACUGGCAGUCUUGAGUACAGUAGAGGUGGGCGGAAUUCGUGGUGUAGCGGUGAAAUGCUUAGAUAUCACGAAGAACUCCGAUUGCGAAGGCAGUUCACUGGACUGCAACUGACACUGAGGCUCGAAAGUGUGGGUAUCAAACAGGAUUAGAUACCCUAGUAGUC
This 460-nucleotide ribosomal RNA is filed under the name uncultured bacterium. Its description in RNAcentral is "partial 16S ribosomal RNA". It matches the Rfam family "Bacterial small subunit ribosomal RNA", at positions 338 to 795 of the family's 1533-position model. The record is from RNAcentral.